Molecule: ribosomal RNA, 308 nt
Filed under: uncultured bacterium
Lineage: Bacteria
Description: partial 16S ribosomal RNA
Rfam family: Bacterial small subunit ribosomal RNA
Source: RNAcentral
GAGACAGCAGCAGCCACGGGAAUACAGAGGGUGCGAGCGUUAAUCGGAUUUACUGGGCGUAAAGCGUGUGUAGGUUGUUGUUCAAGUCAGUUGUGAAAUCCCUGGGCUCAACCUGGGAACUGCUUCUGAGACUGAACGACUAGAGUACGGUAGAGGGUGGUGGAAUUUCCGGUGUAGCGGUGAAAUGCGUAGAUAUCGGAAGGAACAUCAAUGGCGAAGGCAGCCACCUGGGCCUGUACUGACACUGAGACACGAAAGCGUGGGAUCAAACAGGAUUAGAUACCCCUGUAGUCCCUGUCUCUUAUACA